Molecule: non-coding RNA, 79 nt
Organism: Paramuricea clavata
Lineage: Eukaryota; Metazoa; Cnidaria; Anthozoa; Malacalcyonacea; Plexauridae
Source: the annotation of a GenBank genome assembly
AAUUACGAGAAAAUGAAAUUAUCAACAUGAGUUCGACCUUUGGGUCGAACUCAUGUUGAUAAUUUCAUUUUCUCGUAAU